GACGAACGCUGGCGGCGUGCUUAACACAUGCAAGUCGAACGGAAAGGCCCUGCUUUUGUGGGGUGCUCGAGUGGCGAACGGGUGAGUAACACGUGAGUAACCUGCCCUUGACUUUGGGAUAACUUCAGGAAACUGGGGCUAAUACCGGAUAGGAGCUCCUGCUGCAUGGUGGGGGUUGGAAAGUUUCGGCGGUUGGGGAUGGACUCGCGGCUUAUCAGCUUGUUGGUGGGGUAGUGGCUUACCAAGGCUUUGACGGGUAGCCGGCCUGAGAGGGUGACCGGACACAUUGGGACUGAGAUACGGCACAGACUCAUACGGGAGGCAGCAGUGGGGAAUAGUGCACAAUGGGCGGAAGCCUGAUGCAGCAACGCCGCGUGCGGGAUGACGGCCUUCGGGUUGUAAACCGCUUUCGCCUGUGACGAAGCGUGAGUGACGGUAAUGGGUAAAGAAGCACCGGCUAACUACGUG
RNAcentral lists this ribosomal RNA (468 nucleotides) under uncultured bacterium. RNAcentral's name for it is "partial 16S ribosomal RNA". It matches the Rfam family "Bacterial small subunit ribosomal RNA", at positions 28 to 507 of the family's 1533-position model. The record is from RNAcentral.